This is a long non-coding RNA of Sapajus apella (tufted capuchin), 191 nucleotides long. RefSeq lists it as uncharacterized. The transcript has 2 exons. The record is from RefSeq and is a predicted model, not a curated record. NCBI's taxonomy places the organism in Eukaryota, Metazoa, Chordata, Mammalia, Primates, Cebidae.
GGACAAAGAGGUAGCUAGGACAUGCUCCUCUCAUGGCAGCUACAGAAGCAGAAGAGGAGAGCAGGCACACAGGGAGCCUCCCAAGGAGCCAGCCUCUUUCCUUUAAGCAGAACAGAAAUCUUGCUCAUGGAUGUGAAGGAGAAUGACAGAGGAGAGCUGAAUUCCAGAUAAUUAAAAUACUGCUGCAAUAA